AAAAAUUUAGUUAAAUAAUAACAUUAGCUUGUCAAGCUGAAAUUAUUGAACUCUCAAUAGUUUUUA
This 66-nucleotide transfer RNA is filed under the name Cacodacnus planicollis. RNAcentral describes it as "tRNA-Asp". It matches the Rfam family "tRNA". From Rfam's summary of the family: Transfer RNA (tRNA) molecules are approximately 80 nucleotides in length. Lineage: Eukaryota; Metazoa; Arthropoda; Insecta; Coleoptera; Cerambycidae. The record is from RNAcentral.